This 116-nucleotide small nuclear RNA is filed under the name Gorilla gorilla gorilla (western lowland gorilla). Its description in RNAcentral is "U4 spliceosomal RNA (ENSGGOG00000031881.2)". Lineage: Eukaryota; Metazoa; Chordata; Mammalia; Primates; Hominidae. The record is from RNAcentral.
AGCUUUGUGCAGUGGCAGGAUCAUAGCCAAUGAGGUUUAUGCGAGGCACAAUUACUGCUAACUGAAACUACGAAUGGAGUAUUAAAAUUCAGAAUUCUGGGGUCAAGGGAGGCCUU